Octodon degus (degu) is the source of this 104-nucleotide small nuclear RNA. Lineage: Eukaryota; Metazoa; Chordata; Mammalia; Rodentia; Octodontidae. The record is from Ensembl.
GUGCUCGCCUCGGCAGCACAUAUACUAAAAUCGGAACGAUACAGAGAAGAUUAGCAUGGCCCCUGCGCAAUGAUGGCAUGCAGAUAUCAUGUCUGCAUCUUGUA